CUUCGGAUCUAGUGGCGGACGGGUUAGUAACGCGUGGGAACGUACCCUUUUCUACGGAAUAGCCUCGGGAAACUGAGAGUAAUACCGUAUACGCCCUUCGGGGGAAAGAUUUAUCGGAGAAGGAUCGGCCCGCGUAAGAUUAGAUAGUUGGUGGGGUAAUGGCCUACCAAGUCUACGAUCUUUAGCUGGUUUGAGAGGAUGAUCAGCAACACUGGGACUGAGACACGGCCCAGACUCCUACGGGAGGCAGCAGUGGGGAAUCUUAGACAAUGGGGGAAACCCUGAUCUAGCCAUGCCGCGUGAGUGACGAAGGCCUUAGGGUCGUAAAGCUCUUUCGCUGGGGAAGAUAAUGACUGUACCCAGUAAAGAAACCCCGGCUAACUCCGUGCCAGCAGCCGCGGUAAU
Molecule: ribosomal RNA, 405 nt
Filed under: uncultured Rhodobacterales bacterium
Lineage: Bacteria; Pseudomonadati; Pseudomonadota; Alphaproteobacteria; Rhodobacterales
Description: bacterial SSU rRNA
Rfam family: Bacterial small subunit ribosomal RNA
Source: RNAcentral